AGCUUCCGGGAGGCGGGGCCGGGGAGAGGAAGAAGGGAAAGAAAAGAGGAAGUUGCUUCAACCCUGCCCAGUAGAAGGCGAGGCACAGCCGGGCGGAAGUGACGUAACCAAAGGCGCCGCGAAACUAAUAAACGCGUCGCUUCUCUAGCAAGACAGGGAGGGCAGUUGGCUCGGCUGAGAUCGCAAGGGCGGGAAUACCCGGGCCUGGCCGAUACGCGACGCGCAACGCCUGAUUUUCCUUGACUUCGGGUACUGUUGUUGCGAUUUGGGUAUUCUACUGAGACGAAGUGCCAGGCUAAGAUUGCCAUUUGACUGAAGGCCCCGUCAGUCUGCAGGCGGGAAAGAACUCGACUCGGACCUCGGGAAAACGUUACGCAGAGCUUCUUCGUGAUGAAAUGACGCGUUUGACAGGAAAUCUGAGAGAUUUCGAACAUCUCAGAAAGAAAGCAUGACUAGACUAGGAACCAGCUAUAAACCUGGAAUUCAUCCUUUCAGGACAAUCAAAUCCAGAGAACUUCACUGAAGAAAGAUGGCAAGCUGAUUUUACUGUUACACCCAUAGCUCCUGGGAGAUACAAGUACCUCUUGGUGUUUAACAAUAUAUUUACUGUCUGUAUUAAAGCCCUGCUUAUAGAUUGGAAAGGACAAUAGAAGAGAGUACAACAACAUUACCAGAAGAAGUCAUCUAGUUAAUAGAAAACAGCCAAUCAAACAAGCCUUCCUCAGAAUGACUUUAUUUCUUGCAUUCAUGGGCCCUUUGGCGCUCUACUUCUUCUCUUCUCUCUGGGCUAUGCAUAUUCAAUUGUCCACUACAUUUUGUGACUAAACACAUUAAAAUGAUAAAGUUGCAAGGUAA
Molecule: non-coding RNA, 855 nt
Organism: Oryctolagus cuniculus (rabbit)
Lineage: Eukaryota; Metazoa; Chordata; Mammalia; Lagomorpha; Leporidae
Source: RefSeq, a predicted model, not a curated record